This 147-nucleotide small RNA is filed under the name Streptococcus oralis. RNAcentral's name for it is "Listeria sRNA rli38". It matches the Rfam family "Listeria sRNA rli38". Lineage: Bacteria; Bacillati; Bacillota; Bacilli; Lactobacillales; Streptococcaceae. The record is from RNAcentral.
UUGAGUGGGAAUGAUUUAUAAACAUGAUUUGAAGUGAAAUGGUUGAUUUAACAGCAUUUUCAGUUGUUAUAAAAGGUUAAAAAUAAAUCAAAAUUGAUUGGUUCCCCACCAAAAAUCCCACCAGAAUUUUUCUGGUGAGGUUUUUUU